Molecule: long non-coding RNA, 322 nt
Organism: Galeopterus variegatus (Sunda flying lemur)
Lineage: Eukaryota; Metazoa; Chordata; Mammalia; Dermoptera; Cynocephalidae
Exons: 3
Source: RefSeq, a predicted model, not a curated record
UAAAGUUUAGUUUGAGAUAGAAGCUCAGAGGUCAUAGACUGAAAAGAGCCAUUCUUUGUGCCAUUUGGAUAGAAUGAGAGCAGUCACUGCUAUAGCAGUUGUAGCUGUAGAGGCCAUAAGAAUGUCCAAGAAUCUCUCAGGGUGCACUCUCUCUAGAGCAGAGGUGACUUGCUCCAGGGCAGAAUUCCCCAUCCAUUGUCCUGUGAGGUUAACAGGUAACCAAGCUUCUGCUCUCUGGUUUAGAGGCACGAGGGCCAGGACGACCUUGCAGUCAGGACGCGAGUGUUUAGUAAGCAUCUGGGAAUAAGGUUCUCCUUGAUCC